CAGAAAAAAACUUUUUUUAAAUUAAAAAUUGAAGUUUUUUUAAUUUGUGCAGAAACAAUUAUUUAUAUUAAAGACAAGAAGACCCUAUGAAUUUAUUAAAUUUUUAUUUAAUAUGUAAUUACUAUUAGAAAAAUUUUGGCUGGGGCGGCUAGAAAAUAUUAUGAACUUUUUAAAAAUAAAAUGAUCCAUUAUUAAUGAUUUUAUGUUAAAUACUCUAGGGAUAACAGCGUUAUAUUUUUUGAUAGAUCAUAUUGACAAAA
RNAcentral lists this ribosomal RNA (260 nucleotides) under Rhipicephalus sanguineus (brown dog tick). Its description in RNAcentral is "partial large subunit ribosomal RNA". Lineage: Eukaryota; Metazoa; Arthropoda; Arachnida; Ixodida; Ixodidae. The record is from RNAcentral.